RNAcentral lists this ribosomal RNA (305 nucleotides) under uncultured Pelotomaculum sp. RNAcentral's name for it is "bacterial SSU rRNA". It matches the Rfam family "Bacterial small subunit ribosomal RNA", at positions 1078 to 1382 of the family's 1533-position model. The record is from RNAcentral. Lineage: Bacteria; Bacillati; Bacillota; Clostridia; Eubacteriales; Desulfotomaculaceae.
GGUUAAGUCCCGCAACGAGCGCAACCCUACGUUUAGUUGCUAACGCGUGAAGGCGAGCACUCUAGACGAACUGCCGUUGACAAAACGGAGGAAGGUGGGGGAUGACGUCAAAUCAUCAUGCCCCUUAUGUUCUGGGCUACACACGUGCUACAAUGGCCGGUACAGACGGACGCAAAGCCGCGAGGUGGAGCAAAUCCUAAAAAGCCGGUCUCAGUUCGGAUUGCAGGCUGCAAUUCGCCUGCAUGAAGUCGGAAUCGCUAGUAAUCGCAGGUCAGCAUACUGCGGUGAAUACGUUCCCGGGCCUU